RNAcentral lists this ribosomal RNA (301 nucleotides) under uncultured bacterium. RNAcentral describes it as "partial 16S ribosomal RNA". It matches the Rfam family "Bacterial small subunit ribosomal RNA", at positions 509 to 807 of the family's 1533-position model. The record is from RNAcentral.
CAGCCGCCGCGGUAAAACGAAGGGGGCUAGCGUUGUUCGGAAUUACUGGGCGUAAAGCGCACGUAGGCGGAUCGAUCAGUCAGGGGUGAAAUCCCAGGGCUCAACCCUGGAACUGCCUUUGAUACUGUCGAUCUGGAGUAUGGAAGAGGUGAGUGGAAUUCCGAGUGUAGAGGUGAAAUUCGUAGAUAUUCGGAGGAACACCAGUGGCGAAGGCGGCUCACUGGUCCAUUACUGACGCUGAGGUGCGAAAGCGUGGGGAGCAAACAGGAUUAGAUACCCCCGUAGUCCCUGUCUCUUAUAC